CCGCUUCUUCUUUCUUCUUUUCCUUUUUUUUUUUUCUUCUUCCGUUCCCGAUUCACCUUCUCUUCUCUCAGCUCUUCCCUUCUUCUUCUCAUAUUCUUCUCAACCCUCCCCCUUUCUUCUCCUUUCUUCUCCCACGGAGGGAGGAGGCGAGCUUGGGAGGGGCCAGGCCAUGACCGGCAGUGCCUCCAGCCGAGCCCGCUGCGCCCUCGAUCGCGUUUGCAGCCGACGCUCGCGGCCUAUGCGCACGGCCGAGCCGAGGCUGGAGGCUCCCGUGACGUCCGUGGAUGCUCCCCGUGAUGCCGACGAACUCGCAGCCGCACACGGGAAAGGGAAAAUGAGGUGGUUGGGAGGCUUACCUGGUUUCGGGGGUGAACUGUGAUGACCCUCUUCGACGGCUCUCUUCCUC
Phoenix dactylifera (date palm) is the source of this 406-nucleotide long non-coding RNA. RefSeq lists it as uncharacterized. The record is from RefSeq and is a predicted model, not a curated record. NCBI's taxonomy places the organism in Eukaryota, Viridiplantae, Streptophyta, Magnoliopsida, Arecales, Arecaceae.